Molecule: non-coding RNA, 100 nt
Organism: Gossypium raimondii (Peruvian cotton)
Lineage: Eukaryota; Viridiplantae; Streptophyta; Magnoliopsida; Malvales; Malvaceae
Source: Rfam
AUGGAAGUGAUGAUUAUUUCCCCAGAUGAUCGAAGCUGAACAAACUAUGCGAAUUUUUUUCUCCAAUUAGUUGGAGAUCCAAGCCAGAACUCUGAUCCGU